GCGCGUGUCGCCUAACGGUUGAGGGCACUUGACUUUUAAUCAAGAGUGGCGAUUAAUGCCUCAUUGGAAGUUCGAAUCUUCUCACGCGCA
Molecule: transfer RNA, 90 nt
Filed under: Caudoviricetes sp.
Lineage: Duplodnaviria; Heunggongvirae; Uroviricota; Caudoviricetes
Description: tRNA-Lys
Rfam family: tRNA
About the family: Transfer RNA (tRNA) molecules are approximately 80 nucleotides in length. Their secondary structure includes four short double-helical elements and three loops (D, anti-codon, and T loops). Further hydrogen bonds mediate the characteristic L-shaped molecular structure. tRNAs have two regions of fundamental functional importance: the anti-codon, which is responsible for specific mRNA codon recognition, and the 3' end, to which the tRNAs corresponding amino acid is attached (by aminoacyl-tRNA synthetases). tRNAs cope with the degeneracy of the genetic code in two manners: having more than one tRNA (with a specific anti-codon) for a particular amino acid; and 'wobble' base-pairing, i.e. permitting non-standard base-pairing at the 3rd anti-codon position.
Source: RNAcentral